AUUUCAAUAAGGUUCCAAUCUCUAUUUAUUAAAAUUGUUGAACAGUGCAGUGUUAAACAAGUAAAAUGAAUUUGUAGUGAAACCUGGAGCCAGAUGUAGGCUAUCCAUCCAACAACAAAAUAAAGUCACCUUCAGGAGGAAUAUAAAAAUAAAAACUUAAAGUAAACAAAUCAAGUGCAAAAAGAGUAGCCUGUAUUUGCUUCUUUAACAGUAGGUAAGAUAACGAAUAAGCA
This is a long non-coding RNA of Etheostoma cragini (Arkansas darter), 233 nucleotides long. RefSeq lists it as uncharacterized. The record is from RefSeq and is a predicted model, not a curated record. The transcript is spliced from 3 exons. NCBI's taxonomy places the organism in Eukaryota, Metazoa, Chordata, Actinopteri, Perciformes, Percidae.